CCUACGGGUGGCAGCAGUAGGGAAUAGUGCUCAAUGGGGGAAACCCUGAAGCAGCAACGCCGCGUGGAGGAUGAAGGUUUUCGGAUUGUAAACUCCUUUUGGUAGAGAAGAGAAUGACGGUAACUAACGAAUAAGCACCGGCUAACUCCGGGCAAGCAGCCGCGGUAAUACGGAGGGUGCAAGCGUGACUCGGAACCCCUGGGCGUCAAGAGCGCGUAGGCGGGAUAGCAAGUCAGAUGUGAAAUCCUAUGGCUUAACCAUAGAACUGCCUUUGAAACUGUUAUUCUAGAGUAUGGGAGAGGUAGGUGAAAUUCUUGGUGUAGGGGUAAAAUCCGUAGAGAUCAAGAGGAAUACUCAUUGCGAAGGCGACCUGCUAGAACAUACCUGACGCUGCUGCGCGACAGCGUGGGGAGCAAACAGGAUUAGAUACCCGUGUAGUC
This 440-nucleotide ribosomal RNA is filed under the name uncultured bacterium. RNAcentral's name for it is "partial 16S ribosomal RNA". It matches the Rfam family "Bacterial small subunit ribosomal RNA", at positions 338 to 795 of the family's 1533-position model. The record is from RNAcentral.